UACGGGAGGCAGCAGGUGGGGAAUAUUGCACAAUGGGCGAAAGCCUGAUGCAGCUAUGCCGCGUGUAUGAAGAAGGCCUUAGGGUUGUAAAGUACUUUCAUCGGGGAGGAAAAAACAAAACUAAUAAUUUUAUUUCUUGACGUUACCCGAAAAAGAAGCACCGGCUAACUCCGUGCCAGCAGCCGCGGUAAUACGGAGGGUGCUAGCGUUAAUCAGAAUUACUGGGCGUAAAGAGCACGUAGGUGGUUUUUUUAAGUCAGAUGUGAAAUCCCUGGGCUUAACCUAGGAACUGCAUUUUGAAACUGAAAUACUAGAGUAUCGUAGAGGGAGGUAGAAUUCUAGGUGUAGCGGUGAAAUGCGUAGAUAUCUGGAGGAAUACCUGUGGCGAAAGCGGCCUCCUAAACGAAUACUGACACUGAGGGUGCGAAAGCGUGGGGAGCAAACAGGGAUUAGGAUACC
This 459-nucleotide ribosomal RNA is filed under the name uncultured bacterium. RNAcentral's name for it is "bacterial SSU rRNA". It matches the Rfam family "Bacterial small subunit ribosomal RNA", at positions 340 to 786 of the family's 1533-position model. The record is from RNAcentral.